GAGGCACAAAGUGGGGUAGAAACUGAAAGGUCACAGUGUAUAAAGAAACUCCAGAGACAAUGUUUGACCAUGUGAAGCUAAUGUUAUGGGGAAUUAACAACUAUAUAUGAAGAAAUCAUGAGAGAGGAGAGAUUAAGGCAAUACAGACAGAAAGGUCAUAAGAUCCAAGGAGGUAGAGGGAACACCUGAUACCUGAGUUGCUUUCUGGAAGCCAAAGAACCACUAUUCCUGUGGUUUUUCCUUUCCAUUCACUAUCUAUUGUCUCCCAGUCUUCUUUGCAGACUCUUCUCUAUUUUUCCUUUAAAUAUUAGUCUUCUUCAUUGAGGGCUCUGACCUUGGGCUUUCUUCAGCCUAUUCGCUUUCCAAGGGGCAUGGCCAUGGCUUCCCAUACUGCCUAUAUACUGAUGAGGCCCAGAUAUUAAUUUCUAGGAUCUCUCUCCUGAGUUCGAGUCCUGCUUAUCCAGCUGCCUGGUGAACCUUGCCGCUCCCCAAAUACAUUUUACUAGCCCUCAAAAUGAAAUUAUCUAAAAUGGAACUUUCCUGUCAAAUCUUCCCUUUUUCUAAUACUUUUUGGUAAAGAAAACCCUCAGCUGAAAACCAAAAAUCAUCCUAGAAAUCUCUGUCCUUUUAAUUCACUUAAACAUUGUUAUAUUCAUUGCACCUUUUUCAUUUCUUUUGACUCCCUCUUCUUCCAGUCCCACUGCUACUGUCUAAACUCAGGGCCUCUGAGCUGCCCUUUUAGUUUCCUGGCAUCAGUCUCCUAACCCUGCUCAUAACUCUUCUGUGGCCAUCCCAUGUUCUUACAGGAAACCCUCAACAUUUUCGCAUGGCAUUCAAAUCCUCCAUGAGGCUUCCCCUGGCUACUUCAUCAACAUAAUAUUUUGCUGCACUCCAUCUAACCCCAGGUUUCAAGUUAUCCAGACUUUCUGUGACUCCCACAACAUCUCAAGUUGUUCCCUCCAUCUGGACUUUGCUCUCCCUGGUCUCCCUUCCAGGAAAGCUAACUUCCCUUUCUCUUCCUGUCAACACUUUCCUAUGUUGUCCUUUAAUAUUUAUGAUCCUGCCUCCACAGGAAAUCGCUAUCUUUUUAUUAUGUCCCAACUAUACACUGUACAGAUGCCUAUGACAACAUCGAUAGCACUUUAUUACACUUAAUUUUAAAACUUUUGCAUCCUUCUAUUUGACCUGGAGGAGCAGAAAAUAUAUCAAUUUAACUGUUUGUCCUAUGCCUAGCAGUGAAAACAUUCAGAAUAUGCUUUGGAGGAAAGGAAGGAAAUUAACACACUGAUCCUCUAUGGAAAAAAUAAAUUAGUUCAUCCUCUGAGAGAAAAGAAUAAUUCAAGGUAAGCGAAGUCAUGAAAUGCAGUGGUCAUAAUUCAAAAUGCUCACACAGAUACACACACACCCCACACCAUACAAAGCUCUUUUACGGAGGACAAAAAAGGGUAUCGUCUUCUUCCUCAGAAAGCUGUAACAUCACCUCAACAAUUGGAAGCAGAAACCUUCAAAGGUAGGAUAACUAAGCAAAGAAGACAAUUCUUGAACUACAUAGAUAAAUUCUCAGGUAUAUAAAGACUUUUUAUUUACGUAAGUAUCUUAGCAAGAAUACUAGGGAAUAGGCAACUGGAAUUUGCUCCACGUUGAUACUCGCAAAGAGAAAUUGGAGUCCUUCACAGAGGCAUGGUCCCAAGUACACUGGCAGACAGGAGGCAGGAAGGGCUCUGUCACAGUCCAUAACAGUGCUAAAGAGUCAAUUAGUCUCUAAUUAGCUGAGGAAAAGCUGCUGCUGCUGUUUCUGUGAGCCUAAAGAAAGGUUUUAAGGACAGUUGAAAUUGGAACGUAAUCAUCUCUGUUUAGGAUGUAAUAAAUGAUGCAUGUAAUCAAGGAUGAGAGAGGACCUUCACUGCUCUAGCUAGUCUGAGUUACAUGGGCUAAGGUACUCAAUGAGAAAUUGGGGCUGUGAGUUAGUAGCCAGGUGUUCCUCCCAUUUGUACUAUGGUAUUUAAGUGCACAAUCAUGUGCCACCUUUCAGUCCAGGAGUGAAGGAAAUUGCUAAGGCCGAGGAGGCACACUGAGUGUGUGUUGAGAAAGAGCGUAGGAAACAGGGAGGAGGCCCUGAUGAACAGCCUUCUUCAUUCAACAGCUCUGCACCUUCUCACGGUUUCUGAGGAAAAGGGACUGAGAGAAAGAACUUUUGCCUCCCAGAAUGGAAUGGUAAAGGGCAAACUGAAUAUUCUAGUCAAGAAUGGGAAUGUGCUUUGGCUUCCACAUUUUGAGGAUGAUUUCUUCCUUAAUGUAAUGUAUCCUGAAGGCACUGGGGGCAGGCAAUGCAUUCUUUAUUUCUCCCUUGGCAGUUCUUCUGCCCCAGAACUGUAGGCUUAGAGUUGAGUUUGAUGCUUGCACGUGUUUCCUUUGUCUGAAACAGUCUCUUUCAUCUCUACUUAAUGCCUUCUUACUCUCCAGGAUUCCUCAUGCACGUUAAUUCCUGUGGGAAGCAUUUCCUGAUAUUCUGCCCACACCUCUACCACUACGCAAGAGAGGGUGUGUUGGCUGGAGGUGACCUGCCUGACAACAGACCUACUAAUUUCAUUUCAACAUGCUGACGUGUGUCUACUGUACCCAUCAAUGCCUCUGUUCUGCACAGCAAAAGGAAAACUUACCACAAUGUAUUUGAUUUGGUUAAGAGAUAGAACUUAGCACAUACUUGUAUUCUUUACAGUUUGGAAACAAACUAUCAUCAUUUGUAUUGGUAUAUGUUUGAAGAUACCACAGAGACACAAAACUGUUUUUAAAAAAAUCAAGCACACACAAAGAAACAAAAGUUGAAAGUAGUUCACUUGUAACCUAUCUUUUUAAAAAAUGCUAAAGAAAGGAAUUCCUGGGAAUAUAUAUAUACACACACAUACACACAAUAAAUACGUAUGUGUGUAUAUAUAUGUAUGUGUGUAUAUAUGUAUUUAUUGUGCAUCUAUUUACCUUCUUAUUUUAGACAGAACUAUUCAAAUGCAUUCUAUUAAUAAAAUGUUUAGGAACUCACUUCCCACCCUCAUUUCUGUGCUUUUAACUUUUGAGCAUCAGGACUAACAACUGAGGAAAACGUCUAAGCGUGUUAAGUCUGCUCAUACACCGUCAUUUAUACCCUGACAAUACACACACAACCUACAAGUAUAUACACAAAUGAUACUUAAUGGCAUGUGAAUUUUAUCAACCUACUCUAUUCUAUUGAAUGCUUUGAGGCACAGAUUAAUAUUCUUACAAAUUGUUUUAUAAUUUUUAAAUAUACUUUUUACUUCAAGAUAAUUUUAGACUUACAGAAAAGUAGGAGAAAGAGUUCUCAUAUACCUCUUACCCCAGUUUUCUCUAAUGUCGCAUCUUACAUUCCCACAGCGGAUGUGUCAAAAGUAAAAAAGAAACAUUGGAAUAUUACCAUAUUAACUUAACUCCAGACUUUAUUUGGAUUUCAACAGUUUUCCAUUAAUGUCUUCUUUCUCUUUCAAGGCCUAAUCCAGAAUACCGCAUUGUAUUUAGUGUUUUGUGAUUUUUUUGAAAAAGUGGAUGUUUUAUACAGUUCCACAUUUUUUAUUCAGUGUCUUGUUUGUGCUUCUAUAUAAGCAUUUAAUGCAACAGUGUUCAUCUGAGUAUUGCUUUUGAAUGCCAAAAUACCAUGUUUUUCACACUCCAAACUCUUAGGCAGGCUUCUGAAGACAACUUGUCCCUUAUUUAUGAUACUAUAUAUUUAAAGUAACUGAAAAUAUGCAAAAUAAUGCUUACUUUGUGCAGAGUCCAUGAACUCUAACCAAAACACAUAAAUGUCAAAUUUGAGCAAUAUAUUUUGAUUGAUUUUAAAAUUCCAUUUGAGGCACUACUUUUCUGAAUAGAUGCCCAUGGAAAAUAUUUUAAAAUAUUGUUUUAUUAAAAAAUUGUUUCCUAUAGAAUCUGAAAAGUUAUUUAGGUAGACUUUUAAUAAAAUGUUUGAACAAUUUAAAUGCUAUUUCAGACUGUCAGAAUGAUGAAUGUUUUUUAAUUAUUUUCAUAAUGAUUUAUCACUCCAGUUUACAGUACCUGAAAUAUUUUUUUCGCUUCACCUAAACAACUGGCGUUUUUCUGUUAUGUUCUUUUCCUUGUUGUAUACUCUGCUCUGAAGUACUUUCAAAUUAAAAAAAAAAAAAAAAAAACAGUAUUGUAUUCUAGGG
Molecule: long non-coding RNA, 4193 nt
Organism: Chlorocebus sabaeus (green monkey)
Lineage: Eukaryota; Metazoa; Chordata; Mammalia; Primates; Cercopithecidae
Source: RefSeq, a predicted model, not a curated record